Molecule: ribosomal RNA, 492 nt
Filed under: uncultured bacterium
Lineage: Bacteria
Description: partial 16S ribosomal RNA
Rfam family: Bacterial small subunit ribosomal RNA
Source: RNAcentral
AGUGAACGCUGGCGGUAGGCCUAACACAUGCAAGUCGAACGGCAGCACAGUAAGAGCUUGCUCUUACGGGUGGCGAGUGGCGGACGGGUGAGGAAUACAUCGGAAUCUACUUUUUCGUGGGGGAUAACGUAGGGAAACUUACGCUAAUACCGCAUACGACCUACGGGUGAAAGCAGUGGAUCUUCGGACCUUGCGCGAUUGAAUGAGCCGAUGUCGGAUUAGCUAGUGGGCGGGGUAAAGGCCCACCAAGGCGACGAUCCGUAGCUGGUCUGAGAGGCUGGUCAGCCACACUGGAGCUGAGACACGGUCCAGACUCCUACGGGAGGCAGCAGUGGGGAAUAUUGGGCAAUGGGCGCAAGCCUGAUCCAGCCAUACCGCGUGGGUGAAGAAGGCCUUCGGGUUGUAAAGCCCUUUUGUUGGGAAAGAAAAGCAGCAGGUUAAUACCCCGCUGUUCUGACGGUACCCAAAGAAUAAGCACCGGCUAACUUCGUG